GACGAACGCUGGCGGCGUGCUUAACACAUGCAAGUCGAACGGAAAGGCCCUGCUUUUGUGGGGUGCUCGAGUGGCGAACGGGUGAGUAACACGUGAGUAACCUGCCCUUGACUUUGGGAUAACUUCAGGAAACUGGGGCUAAUACCGGAUAGGAGCUCCUGCUGCAUGGUGGGGGUUGGAAAGUUUCGGCGGUUGGGGAUGGACUCGCGGCUUAUCAGCUUGUUGGUGGGGUAGUGGCUUACCAAGGCUUUGACGGGUAGCCGGCCUGAGAGGGUGACCGGCCACAUUGGGACUGAGAUACGGCCCAGACUCCUACGGGAGGCAGCAGUGGGGAAUCUUGCACAAUGAGCGGAAGCCUGAUGCAGCAACGCCGCGUGCGGGAUGACGGCCUUCGGGUUGUAAACCGCUUUCGCCUGUGACGAAGCGUGAGUGACGGUAAUGGGUAAAGAAGCACCGGCUAACUACGUG
RNAcentral lists this ribosomal RNA (468 nucleotides) under uncultured bacterium. RNAcentral's name for it is "partial 16S ribosomal RNA". It matches the Rfam family "Bacterial small subunit ribosomal RNA", at positions 28 to 507 of the family's 1533-position model. The record is from RNAcentral.